Molecule: ribosomal RNA, 402 nt
Filed under: uncultured bacterium
Lineage: Bacteria
Description: bacterial SSU rRNA
Rfam family: Bacterial small subunit ribosomal RNA
Source: RNAcentral
UGGGGAAUAUUGGACAAUGGGGGAAACCCUGAUCCAGCAAUGCCGCGUGAGUGAAGAAGGCCUUAGGGUUGUAAAGCUCCUUCGCCCGCGAAGAUAAUGACGGUAGCGGGAGAAGAAGCCCCGGCUAACUCCGUGCCAGCAGCCGCGGUAAUACGGAGGGGGCUAGCGUUGUUCGGAAUUACUGGGCGUAAAGCGUACGUAGGCGGAUGCGCAAGUUGGGGGUGAAAUCCCGGGGCUUAACCUCGGAAUUGCCCUCAAAACUGCACGUCUUGAGACCGAGAGAGGUAAGGGGAAUUCCUAGUGUAGAGGUGAAAUUCGUAGAUAUUAGGAAGAACACCAGUGGCGAAGGCGCCUUACUGGCUCGGUACUGACGCUGAGGUACGAAAGCGUGGGGAGCAAACA